RNAcentral lists this long non-coding RNA (3083 nucleotides) under Phoenix dactylifera (date palm). Its description in RNAcentral is "long non-coding RNA (PDAC_LNC001321)". Lineage: Eukaryota; Viridiplantae; Streptophyta; Magnoliopsida; Arecales; Arecaceae. The record is from RNAcentral.
CGCAAUCUGACUUGUAGGUCUACUGGUUAGGUAUGAGUUCAUAUGACAUUUUGGGUUAUGGUUUGGUUCGACUAAAUGCCUCCUUGAUCUCACCAGGUCAUAUUUUGCGUUAACCUUGCCCAAGUCUAAACUGAAUCCAAACCAUGAAGUUUACCUUGUAUAUAAUGUUUGUUUUACCCUUAUACUCCCUAUGUUUCCUAUCAAGUUUAUUAAUUGUCCUUUGGGACUAUGAUAUUAGAGAAUAGUUUUACACACGUUUGUCAUGGUUUCAUAUUUCAGUUUUUAUUUCAAAAACAUGGAACCUAAUGCUGCCUGCCAACCAACACCACCUAAUGCUGCCUGCCAACAUCACCACCGUCUCCACCAUUGUAACCUUAUUCACCGGACGAGUUUUAAAUUUUUGGUGUUCAACAAAAAAAAGGAGAAACUAACUUUAAGUUUUGAAAAAAAAAGAAAACUGAAGAACAGUUACUUUAAAGGGCAUGAAGGAGAUGAGCAUUCAGAAAAAUGGUGUAGUCCCAAGUUGGACCUAAAGCCAACUCCUUCCUAACUCAGUCCAACCCGAACUUGAAUGUGACCAAUUCUUGGAUGGAUAAAAUUUGGGUUAAAUUUGUAAAUCCUAGAAGUCCAACAUGCUCAAUACUAGGCUAGCAGAAACACAGACCUGACUCAUUAGUGGUACCAUCUAGCUCUAUAAUGAUUUAGGGAAUAUUGUGUUUGAAGUAGUUGCUUCGAAACAGUUGGCAUUCAUUGCACCAAGCACUCAGGCAUUAGGGUUUUACAAAUGGGGUGAAGAUGUUCUCUUUCUUUCAAAUGCUGGAGACUGAGUGCUCUUGAAAAAACCUUGCCGAUAAGAUUCAGUAAUUUGGUUUCCCUAGUAUUUUUUUCGGAAAAAAUACUUCAGGUAUCGGUGUUCCUUAAAGUCCCCAAAAUCAAUCUAUCGCUGAUUCGACAACUCGACAUCGAACCACCUCCCUUAUCACACUUCUCAUGUUACACUAAUCCCUGCUAGUUACACUUCUCAUGUACAAAAGGUAUUAUUAGUAUUAGGUAUAGAUUAUAGCAAAUGCUAUGGAGCUUGAAAGAAAAUUUUUAAUUGGUUUUGCAUCAAUACUUUUAUCUUGGGCAAAAUCUCAACCUGUAUUGAUGCAACAUAUAGAAAAUCUUGACCCUUAUUAACUACAUUACUAUAAAUUGGUAAAGCUUAAGAUAUCAGCCAGUCCUAUAAAAACAUAUUGGCCAAUACAUUUUAAAACGUGAAUUUACUCUCUUAAAUAAGUUUCUAAGUUAACUAUUUUUAAAAUAAAUAAUUAACAACCAAAAAUUUUUGGUAGCUUUUUUUUCAUUUUCAAAUUUGCUCGCUUGCUCACGGAAGGUUCUUAUAAUAGUACGGGUUUGUUGACCUCAUAAAGGCGAUCCAUCGUGACAACAAAUUCCACGAUAACAAGAAACAAAAAUUAUUCAUUCGGUGCCUACUCGUUUUCCUCUCUUUAAUUCCCAAUGAACAAUAUGAUCUUAGCCUAUUAUUUAUUCAAUUUGGUCAAUCAAAUUUAGUUCACUCAUUCAUCUUGAUUUUCUCUGAUUACCUAAUUGAUAACGAACUCCUCAAUGAGCAAUGCCGCAGGUUGCUAGUCUUUGCUUUGCCGGUCAACCAUAAAAAAAGAGAUUGAUUGCCUCACCAAUGAUGAUUUAAAAAAAUUCUUGCUUAUUUUUUAUUGCUUUAAUCGACCGGAACUACUCAAAUAAAACUAAUUGCCAAUCUCCAAUUUACCAUACCGGCCAUAAGUUCAAUAUCUCCAUCUUAAAAAUCGGCAAAAAUUUUAAAAAAAUCCUAGAUCCUUUUUAAGUUUUCCCAUCUAUCAUAUCAACGAGAUGAUUAUCCACCAAGGUGUUCGGCAUCAUACUUUUUUAAUAAAAAAAACACUUAUUUACAUCUAAAUUAACAUGCCAUUCCUGUCAAAUCUUAGCAGCAUGCUUCUGAUGGGCCUGUAAUGACCCCAUUUUUCUAGUCUCUUCAUUGUUUAAGGAUUCUCCUGCUCUGCUUCCCUAUUGCAUUCAAAACAGUAGAAAAUAAAUAAACAAAAUACCAGCACAUUCUAAUGAGGAAUCCCAUGAUUCCAUUAGUCAGGUCCCUUUAUAACUUACCAGAAGAAAAAUCUAGUGACUCCAAUGGUAUCUCUUUACCGCUCCUUCCGUAACAGUUUCUAUUAAACAUGUAAAAUGGAAAGUUGAUAUCAAAGACGAAAGUAUUUGGCUGACUAAAAUUGAAGGUAAGAAAAGGAAGCUCCUUGGUUGAUGAUCUUGAGAAACUACUGCUUUUUGGUAGACCUAUCUAAAAUAGCAGAUAGUCAAAGAAAUGUUCCUUCUUGCAAGGAGCAGGUCUUCACCCAUUUUAGGUGCUUAUUGAAUCUGUAGAUGUUUCCAGGGGAUAAUGUAACAGUGGCGACAGUACCCCUAUAACAUGACGAGUUUCAAAUUUUUAGGUGCCUGUCAACAUGACCACCUUCUCCACCAUUGUAACCUUAUUCACCUGACGAGUUUCAAAUUUUUGGUAUUCAACAGAAAAGGAAAAACUGACUUUAAUUUUUGAAAAAAAAAAAAAGAAAACUGAAAAACAGUAACCACCUGCCUUUCCUUUAAAGGGCAUGAAGGAAAUGAACAUUCGGAAAAAUGGCAUAGUCCCAAUAAGAUCCAAUCCAACUCAGGUCUUGAACCUAAAGCCAACUCCUUCCUGACUCAGUCCAACGCGAACUUGAAUUCGACCAAUUCUUGGAUGGAUAAAAUUUGGGUUAAAUGUGUAAAUCCUAGGAGUCCAACAUGCUCAAUACUAGGCUAGCAGAAACACAGACCUGACUCAACAUGAUAGCACCCUUAUGUGUGAUUAGAGGUGUGAAUCUACCACGUACCAGUUUUUUAUAGAUGAUGGGGCAGGCUAAUGGUACCAUCUAGCUCUAUAAUGAUUUAUGGGAUAUUGUGUUUGAAGUAGUUGCUUAGAAACAGUUGGCAUUCAUUGCACCAAGCACUCAGGCAUUAAGGUUUUACGAAUGGGGUGAAGAUGUUCUCUUUCUUUCAAAUGCUGGAGA